RNAcentral lists this ribosomal RNA (315 nucleotides) under Aurantiochytrium limacinum. Its description in RNAcentral is "partial Eukaryotic large subunit ribosomal RNA". It matches the Rfam family "Eukaryotic large subunit ribosomal RNA", at positions 644 to 945 of the family's 3401-position model. Lineage: Eukaryota; Bigyra; Thraustochytrida; Thraustochytriidae. The record is from RNAcentral.
CUGGCCCGUCUUGAAACACGGACCAAGGAGUCUAACAUAUGUGCGAGUGUUUGAGUGUUAAACUCAGGCGCGUAAUGAAAGUGACUGUUUGUUCGGCAAACUGAGGUGGGAACCUGUUAUGGGGGCACCAUCGACCGAUCAUGAUCUUCGGUGAAAGAUUUGAGUUUGAGCAUAGAUGUUGGGACCCGAAAGAUGGUGAACUAUGCCUGAAUAGGGCGAAGCCAGGGGAAACCCUGGUGGAGGCUCGUAGCGGUUCUGACGUGCAAAUCGAUCGUGAAAUUUGGGUAUAGGGGCGAAAGACUAAUCGAACCAUCU